GUGAUCGCUUCAGCAACACAUAUACUAAAAUUGGAAUGAUGCAGAGAAGAUUAGCAUGGCUGCUGCGCAAGGAUGAUGUGAGGGCGAUCUGGCUGCAACAUCUGU
Molecule: small nuclear RNA, 105 nt
Organism: Phasianus colchicus (ring-necked pheasant)
Lineage: Eukaryota; Metazoa; Chordata; Aves; Galliformes; Phasianidae
Source: Ensembl